This 253-nucleotide ribosomal RNA is filed under the name uncultured bacterium. RNAcentral describes it as "partial 16S ribosomal RNA". It matches the Rfam family "Bacterial small subunit ribosomal RNA", at positions 524 to 776 of the family's 1533-position model. The record is from RNAcentral.
UACAGAGGUCCCAAGCGUUGUUCGGAUUCAUUGGGCAUAAAGGGUGCGUAGGCGGCGCGGUAAGUCGGGUGUGAAAUCUCGGGGCUUAACUCCGAAACUGCAUUCGAUACUGCCGUGCUUGAGGACUGGAGAGGAGACUGGAAUUUACGGUGUAGCAGUGAAAUGCGUAGAGAUCGUAAGGAAGACCAGUGGCAAAGGCGGGUCUCUGGACAGUUCCUGACACUGAGGCACGAAGGCCAGGGGAGCAAACGGG